CUUGGCGGCUGGAGCGGGGUGGAUCCACCCGUUCCCAUCCCGAACACGGAAGUGAAACGCCCCAGCGCAGACGAUACUUGGGAGGAACCUCCCCGGGAAAAUAUGCCGCUGCCAGGA
RNAcentral lists this ribosomal RNA (117 nucleotides) under Dehalococcoidia bacterium. Lineage: Bacteria; Bacillati; Chloroflexota; Dehalococcoidia. The record is from RNAcentral.